GAUGAACGCUGGCGGCGUGCCUAAUACAUGCAAGUCGAGCGAACAGACGAGGAGCUUGCUCCUCUGACGUUAGCGGCGGACGGGUGAGUAACACGUGGAUAACCUACCUAUAAGACUGGGAUAACUUCGGGAAACCGGAGCUAAUACCGGAUAAUAUAUUGAACCGCAUGGUUCAAUAGUGAAAGACGGUUUUGCUGUCUCUUAUAGAUGGAUCCGCGCCGGCUUAGCUAGUUGGUAAGGUAACGGCUUACCAAGGCAACGAUGCGUAGCCGGCCUGAGAGGGUGAUCGGCCACACUGGAACUGAGACACGGUCCAGACUCCUACGGGAGGCAGCAGUGGGGAAUCUUCCGCAAUGGGCGAAAGCCUGACGGAGCAACGCCGCGUGAGUGAUGAAGGUCUUCGGAUCGUAAAACUCUGUUAUUAGGGAAGAACAAAUGUGUAAGUAACUAUGCACGUCUUGACGGUACCUAAUCAGAAAGCCACGGCUAACUACGUG
This 497-nucleotide ribosomal RNA is filed under the name uncultured bacterium. RNAcentral describes it as "partial 16S ribosomal RNA". It matches the Rfam family "Bacterial small subunit ribosomal RNA", at positions 28 to 507 of the family's 1533-position model. The record is from RNAcentral.